AGUGAACGCUGGCGGUAGGCCUAACACAUGCCAGUCGAACGGCAGCACAGUAAGAGCUUGCUCUUACGGGUGGCGAGUGGCGGACGGGUGAGGAAUACAUCGGAAUCUACUUUUUCGUGGGGGAUAACGUAGGGAAACUUACGCUAAUACCGCAUACGACCUACGGGUGAAAGCAGGGGAUCUUCGGACCUUGCGCGAUUGAAUGAGCCGAUGUCGGAUUAGCUAGUUGGCGGGGUAAAGGCCCACCAAGGCGACGAUCCGUAGCUGGUCUGAGAGGAUGAUCAGCCACACUGGAACUGAGACACGGUCCAGACUCCUACGGGAGGCAGCAGUGGGGAAUAUUGGACAGUGGGCGCAAGCAUGAUCCAGCCAUGCCGCGUGGGUGGAGGAGGCCUUCGGGUUGUAAAGCCCUUUUGUUGGGAAUGAAAAGCAGCAGGUUAAUACCCCGCUGUUCUGACGGUACCCAAAGAAUAAGCACCGGCUAACUUCGUG
This 492-nucleotide ribosomal RNA is filed under the name uncultured bacterium. RNAcentral's name for it is "partial 16S ribosomal RNA". It matches the Rfam family "Bacterial small subunit ribosomal RNA", at positions 29 to 507 of the family's 1533-position model. The record is from RNAcentral.